This 1455-nucleotide ribosomal RNA is filed under the name uncultured organism. RNAcentral describes it as "16S ribosomal RNA". It matches the Rfam family "Bacterial small subunit ribosomal RNA". The record is from RNAcentral.
UGGCGGCAGGCCUAACACAUGCAAGUCGAGCGGUAGCACAGAGAGCUUGCUCUCGGGUGACGAGCGGCGGACGGGUGAGUAAUGUCUGGGAAACUGCCUGAUGGAGGGGGAUAACUACUGGAAACGGUAGCUAAUACCGCAUAACGUCGCAAGACCAAAGUGGGGGACCUUCGGGCCUCAUGCCAUCAGAUGUGCCCAGAUGGGAUUAGCUAGUAGGUGGGGUAACGGCUCACCUAGGCGACGAUCCCUAGCUGGUCUGAGAGGAUGACCAGCCACACUGGAACUGAGACACGGUCCAGACUCCUACGGGAGGCAGCAGUGGGGAAUAUUGCACAAUGGGCGCAAGCCUGAUGCAGCCAUGCCGCGUGUGUGAAGAAGGCCUUCGGGUUGUAAAGCACUUUCAGCGGGGAGGAAGGCGUUAAGGUUAAUAACCUUGGCGAUUGACGUUACCCGCAGAAGAAGCACCGGCUAACUCCGUGCCAGCAGCCGCGGUAAUACGGAGGGUGCAAGCGUUAAUCGGAAUUACUGGGCGUAAAGCGCACGCAGGCGGUCUGUCAAGUCGGAUGUGAAAUCCCCGGGCUCAACCUGGGAACUGCAUUCGAAACUGGCAGGCUGGAGUCUUGUAGAGGGGGGUAGAAUUCCAGGUGUAGCGGUGAAAUGCGUAGAGAUCUGGAGGAAUACCGGUGGCGAAGGCGGCCCCCUGGACAAAGACUGACGCUCAGGUGCGAAAGCGUGGGGAGCAAACAGGAUUAGAUACCCUGGUAGUCCACGCCGUAAACGAUGUCGAUUUGGAGGUUGUGCCCUUGAGGCGUGGCUUCCGGAGCUAACGCGUUAAAUCGACCGCCUGGGGAGUACGGCCGCAAGGUUAAAACUCAAAUGAAUUGACGGGGGCCCGCACAAGCGGUGGAGCAUGUGGUCUAAUUCGAUGCAACGCGAAGAACCUUACCUGGUCUUGACAUCCACAGAACUUUCCAGAGAUGGAUUGGUGCCUUCGGGAACUGUGAGACAGGUGCUGCAUGGCUGUCGUCAGCUCGUGUUGUGAAAUGUUGGGUUAAGUCCCGCAACGAGCGCAACCCUUAUCCUUUGUUGCCAGCGGUUAGGCCGGGAACUCAAAGGAGACUGCCAGUGAUAAACUGGAGGAAGGUGGGGAUGACGUCAAGUCAUCAUGGCCCUUACGACCAGGGCUACACACGUGCUACAAUGGCAUAUACAAAGAGAAGCGACCUCGCGAGAGCAAGCGGACCUCAUAAAGUAUGUCGUAGUCCGGAUUGGAGUCUGCAACUCGACUCCAUGAAGUCGGAAUCGCUAGUAAUCGUAGAUCAGAAUGCUACGGUGAAUACGUUCCCGGGCCUUGUACACACCGCCCGUCACACCAUGGGAGUGGGUUGCAAAAGAAGUAGGUAGCUUAACCUUCGGGAGGGCGCUUACCACUUUGUGAUUCAUGACUGGGGUGAA